GGUGUAGGCGGCCUGUCAAGUCAGAUGUGAAAUCUCCCGGCUCAACUGGGAGGAUGCAUUUGAAACUGAUGGGCUAGAGUGCAGCAGAGGAAGAUGGAAUUCCCGGUGUAGUGGUGAAAUGCGUAGAUAUCGGGAAGAACACUAGUGGCGAAGGCGGUCUUCUGGGCUGUAACUGACGCUGAGACCCGAAGGCUGGGAGCAAACA
RNAcentral lists this ribosomal RNA (205 nucleotides) under uncultured bacterium. RNAcentral's name for it is "partial 16S ribosomal RNA". It matches the Rfam family "Bacterial small subunit ribosomal RNA", at positions 568 to 774 of the family's 1533-position model. The record is from RNAcentral.